GCAUGUCGAACGAAGCACUUGUGCUUAGUGGCGAAUGGGUGAGUAACACGUACUUAAUCUACCCUUUAGAUUGGGACAACAGUUGGAAACGACUGCUAAUACCGAAUAUGUACUUUUACCGCAUGGUAUUUGUAUAAAAGGAGCGUUUGCUCCGCUUUAGGAUGAGAGUGCGUCGCAUUAGUUAGUUGGUAGGGUAAAGGCCUACCAAGACGAUGAUGCGUAGCGGGGUCGAGAGGCUGAAC
Molecule: ribosomal RNA, 242 nt
Filed under: uncultured bacterium
Lineage: Bacteria
Description: partial 16S ribosomal RNA
Rfam family: Bacterial small subunit ribosomal RNA
Source: RNAcentral